This 360-nucleotide ribosomal RNA is filed under the name uncultured soil bacterium. Its description in RNAcentral is "bacterial SSU rRNA". It matches the Rfam family "Bacterial small subunit ribosomal RNA", at positions 26 to 401 of the family's 1533-position model. The record is from RNAcentral.
AGAACGAACGCUGGCGGCAUGCCUAAUACAUGCAAGUCGAACGAACACUUCGGUGUUAGUGGCGCACGGGUGCGUAACGCGUGGGAAUCUGCCCUUGGGUUCGGAAUAACAGUUGGAAACGACUGCUAAUACCGGAUGAUAUCGAAAGAUCAAAGAUUUAUCGCCCAGGGAUGAGCCCGCGUAGGAUUAGCUAGUUGGUGAGGUAAAGCUCACCAAGGCGACGAUCCGUUAGCUGGUCUGAGAGGAUGAUCAGCCACACGUGGGACUGACGACACGGACCCAGACCUCCGUACGGGAGCAGCAAGGUAGGGAAUAGUUGGACAAGUGGGACGCAAGCCUGAUCCCGAGACUAAGUGCCCG